RNAcentral lists this ribosomal RNA (353 nucleotides) under Streptococcus equinus. RNAcentral describes it as "bacterial SSU rRNA". It matches the Rfam family "Bacterial small subunit ribosomal RNA", at positions 8 to 351 of the family's 1533-position model. Lineage: Bacteria; Bacillati; Bacillota; Bacilli; Lactobacillales; Streptococcaceae. The record is from RNAcentral.
AGAGUUUGAUCCUGGCUCAGGACGAACGCUGGCGGCGUGCCUAAUACAUGCAAGUAGAACGCUGAAGACUUUAGCUUGCUAAAGUUGGAAGAGUUGCGAACGGGUGAGUAACGCGUAGGUAACCUGCCUACUAGCGGGGGAUAACUAUUGGAAACGAUAGCUAAUACCGCAUAACAGCAUUUAACACAUGUUAGAUGCUUGAAAGGAGCAAUUGCUUCACUAGUAGAUGGACCUGCGUUGUAUUAGCUAGUUGGUGAGGUAACGGCUCACCAAGGCGACGAUACAUAGCCGACCUGAGAGGGUGAUCGGCCACACUGGGACUGAGACACGGCCCAGACUCCUACGGGAGGCAG